GAAGUGGCGCAGGCUCUGACGGAUUGUAAGCGCACGGUUUCAGGUACUAUUUCACUCCCCUCCCGGGGUACUUUUCACCUUUCCCUCACGGUACUAGUCCGCUAUCGGUCACCAGGGAGUAUUCAGGCUUAUCGGGUGGUCCCGACAGAUUCACAGCAGAUUUCACGGGCCCGCUGCUACUCGGGUGUCCGUCACGACAGUCACCAUGUUUUCGUCUACGGGACUCUCACCCUCUACGACAGGCCGUUCCAGACCACUUCGACUAACACGAUGAUUUCUCACUGUCGGCCAAUCCGGCAGAAUUGACAAGACGGAUCCCACAACCCCACGAAUGCAACGCCCG
Molecule: unclassified non-coding RNA, 343 nt
Filed under: uncultured bacterium
Lineage: Bacteria
Description: contains 16S-23S intergenic spacer region
Source: RNAcentral